RNAcentral lists this small nucleolar RNA (130 nucleotides) under Tetrahymena elliotti 4EA. RNAcentral describes it as "Tetrahymena snoRNA TtnuHACA9". It matches the Rfam family "Tetrahymena snoRNA TtnuHACA9". The record is from Rfam by way of RNAcentral. Lineage: Eukaryota; Ciliophora; Oligohymenophorea; Hymenostomatida; Tetrahymenidae.
AAGGAUCUAUCGAAGCUUGUGCAUUGAUAUUAUCUUUGCAGAAGUCAAAACAAUCCAAAAGAAAAUUCAGUGAUUCGGGUGGCACUUUUAUUUUUCAUAAAUAAUCGUGUCUAUCGAAUCUCUUACACUC